Arachis duranensis is the source of this 107-nucleotide small nucleolar RNA. The record is from RefSeq and is a predicted model, not a curated record. NCBI's taxonomy places the organism in Eukaryota, Viridiplantae, Streptophyta, Magnoliopsida, Fabales, Fabaceae.
AAGAUAUCAGGGGGACACUUCUUGAUCAUAAGCUUAAAUCUCUCCCAGGCCUCAUAAAGGGAUUCUCCAUCUUUCUAUCUGAAGGUUUGGACAUCCACCCUAAGCUU